This 615-nucleotide ribosomal RNA is filed under the name Chryseobacterium arachidis. Its description in RNAcentral is "partial 16S ribosomal RNA". Lineage: Bacteria; Pseudomonadati; Bacteroidota; Flavobacteriia; Flavobacteriales; Weeksellaceae. The record is from RNAcentral.
CGAGCGGUAUUUGUUCUUCGGAACARAGAGAGCGGCGUACGGGUGCGGAACACGUGUGCWACCUGCCUUUAUCAGGGGGAUAGCCUUUCSAAAGGAAGAUUAAUACCCCAUAAUAUAUUUGAUGGCAUCRUUGAAUAUUGAAAACUCCGGUGGAUAGAGAUGGGCACGCGCAAGAUUAGAUAGUKGGKAGGGUAACGGCCUACCAAGUCAAUGAUCUUUASGGGGCCUGAGAGGGKGAUCCCCCRCACUGGUACUGAGACACGGACCAGACUCCUACGGGAGGCAGCMGUGAGGAAUAUUGGACAAUGGGUGARARCCUGAUCCAGCCAUCCCGCGUGAAGGACGACGGCCCUAUGGGUUGURAACUUCUUUUGUAUAGGGAUAAACCUUUCCACGUGUGGAAAGSUGAAGGUACUAUACRAAUAAKCWCCGGCUAACUCCGUGCCASCAGCCGCGGUARUACGGAGGGUGCAAGCGUUAUCCGGAUUUAUUGGGUUUAAAGGGUCCGUAGGCGGAUCUGUAAGUCAGUGGUGAAAUCUCAUAGCUUAACUAUGAGACUGCYMUUGAUACUGYMGGUCUUGAGUAAAGUAKAAGUGGCUGGAAUAAGUAGUGUAG